Long non-coding RNA from Pseudopipra pipra, 5605 nucleotides. RefSeq lists it as uncharacterized. The transcript is spliced from 2 exons. Lineage: Eukaryota; Metazoa; Chordata; Aves; Passeriformes; Pipridae. The record is from RefSeq and is a predicted model, not a curated record.
CCUUGCAGCCACGGGAUGUUUUCCUACAUGAAAAGCCUUUGCAGGGAUCUGAGGGGUUGAAUGUAAUUCAGCUGCUGUAAAAUAAACCCAGAGGCAGAUUUGAGGCCAGGUUUGUUGGUGUCAACCCUCUCUCAACAGGCAGCUUUCCCCCCAUGUGAGGCUUUGGUGACACAACAAGGACCAUCCUGCACGUGGGGUCAGGCAGUGGCCACGUGCCUGUUUGUGGGUCAUGUCACAAAUGUUUUGCUCCGUGCCCUGAGCCUCCUUCUCCUGCUGUGUGAACCUCUCCAUGAGGCACAAGCUGGCCUGUGGAUUGGGGACUUGGAAAACAUCUGUGUCCAGCUCCAUGGAGGGCAGAGGGGACCGGGAGAAGCAGCAGCCCAGCUCCUGGUGAAGGUGAUCUACAGUGAGGCACAGGCAAGACCUUCUGAUGAAACCUGACCCAGGCAGUUGGAGUCAGGUGCAUCUGGACAUCUCCACACAUCCAUUUGCAGUGGAUGGAAGCCUUGGAGGGUGUAUAACCCAGGCAAAGAAUGGGAAUGGGAAGCAACACCAGCACAAUGAAUAAAUUCCAUAAUAUAUCUAUUUUUUCCUGGAAUCACAUCCUACAGACUGUCCUUGCUCUUCACCUUCUGCUCUCCAGCUUCUGAGUGGUGAACUGGUACGAACUCCACAGAAAACACAUUUCCACCCUUUUAUUUUCCAGGGCAGGUAUUGCAGCUUCCAGGAGGACUGGAAGGGCAAAGUUGUUUUCUCCUGGGGAGAUUGCGAAGGUGAAACUUUAUAUCUCGCAGCUGCCUCAGUCAUUCUCUUGAAGGCAUGUUCACCUCACUCCUCCAGCAGCACAGACCCAGCACUGCCCUCCUGGCACUGCUGGUGCUGCACUUGAGCUGAGCUCAUCAAGGACAAGACCAUCUUGGGCUUCUGUUGGAAAAGAGGGGUCGAUGCCUCAGCUGCAAAGAAAAGGAACUGAGUCACAGCAGAGGCUGCUGGAGAGAGGAUUUUUAAAAUACAUCAUUUUCUGUUUCCAGUUCUGGUGAGGAAACAGGCAAUUGCUGCCUUAAAAAAUUAAAUGCCGUGAAAUUUCAAGCUCUCUUUGUUUCUCAUAAACAUCUUGCGACUUGUGACAGAGGUGGCUGGAAAUGUCCCCUCAGAGCAGUGCCAUGCUGGCCCAGAAGUGCUUGAUCUGUGCUCUGGCCUUUUCUUCAUGUGGGUUGGACUGGUCUCUAGUCAGAUAAUAAAAUCAUCCGGUCAACUGAGUUUUAAAAAAUAAAUUUGAGCGAGUCAGCCUUCAUUUUGUAGCAGCUCUACCCAAUCCAUGCAGAGGAGUGGUUAAAACCAGGAUUUGGCCAGCACCAAAGCACCAUUUGCCAGCUGACUCCAGCUUUGCAGAGGGAGUCUGAAAUCUUGAGCUGUGUGUCUUCGAGCUUUGGCUGAGCUCCAGCUCUACCUACUCCCCAGGAAGGCCGGUGGGUUGGUGUGUGCUCUGCUGGGUGUGAACCACGAGGAGCUGGGCUGUGUUCACACAUGUUGGUGUCUGAGUCACCUCCACACUUCACCAGGUCGUAAUUCCUGAUGGGAAACACGCUCAGUAGUUUGGGCUUAAAUGGCCAUGCAGGUAUCUGGGCACAGCCUUUGUCUUAGAAGGUUUAAUUCAUCUCUAAUCCUGUCUUAUAUGGACUUGCUGCCAUGCAAUGUGAUCUGCAGUUAUAGCACCCCUGGAGCUGAGGGAAUGCCCUGACACCCACUGAACACUGAGCAUCAAACCCUGUGGCCAUAUUUUUAGUUAAAGAGCCUCACAAAGCCACCAGUGCUUCUCAAAAGGACUUCUAGGUUUAAAUCCAAAUAAUUUGAAUGAACUUGUCCAUUUCAAAGCCAAGCAGGAAUUCCACCCCUUUCACCUGCUUGUGUUGGUGAUGGAGCCCCGCUCGUCCCUCCCUGCCCCACAGCCCGCCCCAGGCAGUGGGAACAACUACACAGCUGCAGAAGAAAAGCCAAUAGCAGGACUGAAAUAUUCCCACAGGUUUGUCUUGACUUAGAUCUCCCAGAUAACGUCUGAUGAUCAUAAAAUACGGUGCCAGGUGAGAUAAUAUCACUAAUUAGAGGGACACCGUGCCCAGUCUUCAGCCAACUCUUGUGAAGCUCCAUGAGGUCAUUCAUGAAUAGGCUCCAAGGAAAAAAAGGCAAAGUGUCAAUAGGAAUGACUUUCUUCAAUAGAUUCACCUGUGAUAAGCACAUUCCAGUGACUCAGUGCAGGAUAAGUAGGUGCUGGAAUUUUCACAUCCACGAAACAGUAACUAGGAUAAAAAAAUCCAGUAAAUGCCUUUUUUUUUUUCCCUCCACUGAUUGUAUUUGAAAUGAAAGAUAAGCAUAGGAAGUCUGAGGCAGAAAACAAACUUCCAGUGUGUGUGGAUACUCACAGUCACCCCAGGAUGCUCUGCCCAUGAGGUAAUACCUCGUGGGAUGGCGGGGGAAAAAAAAAACCCAUCCACAAAAUUGCUUCCAGUCGGUUCUGAGGCAGGUCCUGAGCGACCAAACUGCCUGUCCUUUGAAACCAUUCCAGAUCACAUCAGUUGUGUUCUGAUUCAGAGUGGAAUUUGUUUUUCCCAUCAUGUGAGGGAGCAAACGUGCAGCCCAAGAAGGGCGAUGUCAGCUCGGACGCAAACACGCUCUGGGAGGGGAGCGAUGCCACAGACCCGCCAAGCAGAGCAGUGGGCUCAGCAGCAGGGUCAGUUCUGCAUUGCCUCUUGGACAAAACCAUCUUUGAAGGAUUAAUAACGAACUGAAAAGCUCGCUGGAAACGUCUCCCUUGUUUGUUUUGGCUUCCAGAGCAUUUCUAAGUGUAAUUACGAGCAGUUGAGAAACGGAGAGGGUGAAAAAAUCUUGUGGCUGGUUCUGCACAGGGCGGUGGCUGAGGAGACCUGGGUUGAUUUCUAACCUCUGUCACAGCCCAGUGUCACACAAAAGAAGAGAUUUGAAUUCAUCUGCAGCUCAUUCUCUAUGAACAGGGCUGAAGCUGCCCUUGCCUGCUCAGUGCCUGGUUCCACAGCCCCUUGCACAGAGGUACCAUGGGCCCUUCAUGUCCUGCUGGUGUUGAUGUAAUUCAGACAGUGAUAAUGAUACAGCCAUUUUUAAGGGUCUCCUGUGCUUAUAUAUCCAUAUAAAAGCCUCUCUUAGCAGCACCAUGCUGCUUCAGAAGGGGAAAAUCCAACACUCCUGCACACAGCUGCACGUCCUUUUAAGCCAGAGGACACAAGUGGAUUUGUGCUGUGCAAGAACCAAUGUCUUCAUUAAGAUCCAUGUUUGCUGGGCAGUGACAAAUCUUUCCCUCAGAACACGGUGAUUAAGGUUUAAUUUUAUUCGGGAUUACAGGCGGCUCCCUUUGCAAACCAGCCCUCGUCCAAGUUGGGGCACAUAUUGCCUGGAAAUGAACAUUCCUCUCCGACUGCUUAAGCAGCUUUGGAUAAGAAAUGAUGGUCUCAGGAAGAUUAGGAGCGUAAGAAAGGUCUCUGGGCUAAGAGCACGUUAAGAGAAAGUGGCAUCACGGGUUCAGGAGGAAACGCUGCCACCUGUGAGGGGCUGAAUCUUCCAAAUCACUGGGAGAAGGGGAAAGAAUGGAUUAGUGAAGGUGAGUGUGAUAAUAACCAAAUAUAUAUGCAUAUAUAAAUCAUCAGCAGGGCCUCAGCCUGCUCAGAGAACCAAAUCAGUGGUUCUGGAGGUUUUAUUGUGUGGCAGCCUCACACAAAAUGAAGUUACAGGUGACAAACACAGGAGGGUCUUGCCCAGAUCAGGAACUGGGUGUGGAAGAUGAGCAAAGGGCUGGAGGAGAAGCAGAGCAGAGGCAAAGGAAGUGAUGGCUCCCAGGGCUGCCCAGCAGAGCUGGGAUGCAAAACUUUGCCACAUUAUCCAGUUCCCUGUUCAUGCAGAUCCACCUCCUCUGGUGCUCCUCCUGGAUACUGUCUUAUUCUGCCAGAAAAUGGUAUUUAAAUACAGCACAUCAUUAUUUAUUCUUAAACACACAUGUUCUUAGACACACAUGUUCUUCCCCCUCUGGGAGCAGUGGGAGGAGGGCAGUGUGGAUAUUCCACAAGUUUAUCACUCUCUCUGCAGUGACAGCUUUGAUUUGUGAAACAGCUUGGAAUAAAAUACCGGCAAUUUUUCAUGGAAAAACUAGUGGACAUGACUUGUGUGUGUUUCAAAGAGAACAGCAGAGAGCUGAAAGGCCUGGACACAGCUGAGUGCCAAAAUCCUGGAUGGAUAUAAAACUUAGCAUUUUCAACUCAGAGAAGUAACAUUAGAAUCAUCCCUAAUUAAGCAGAUUCAGCUUGUUUAUUGUUCUCAAGUAUCUUCAGCUCUGCUCAUCAAUUUUUCACAUUAUUCCUUGGCUGUUUUCUCAUGUUCAGUCUCUUGCUGGUUUGAUGUUUUGCUCUCUGGAGAUUCCUUUCACAAAUUUAUAUUAUUUCCUUAAAGAAAUCUUUUUUUCACAGUUCCAAAUGAGUGUUGUCACUGUGAUAGGGUGUAGGGAGAGCACAAAGCCAGGCAGUGGAAACUCCUUUAACUUAAUGCCAUGGAAAAACCCCUCUGGCUUCCUGUCAGUCAAAGAAGGUCAAAGGCAGUCAGAGCUCCAACUCUGUCAAUGGAUCCUAAAUCCAGUAUUUAAUAUCGACCCCCAUCUUCACAAACCCCACAUGGACAAUGGUGACAGUGCUCCUGACAUCAGGGUGAUGAAAUACAACCAGGAGACUGAAAUGACUUCACACAGCAACCACUGCAACAGAACUGGAAAGGACCUUUUGUGGGUUUAAUGAGUUAUUUUAGUAGUAAGGUUUUGGUAGAGGAGCUCUGGGCAGGCAGGAGGGGGGGAUUGAGGGGCAAAGCUGGACUGUCUGGGUGCUUGGGGAUAUUUGAGACUGGUGUUGUAGGUGUUCAGAGCAGAUUUUGGGCUCACCUUGGCUCCUUGGCUGUGGGGAGGAGGUUUGCUGGGCAUGUCCUGGACCAGCCCCUCACUCAGGUGAUGGACCAAAGCUGACCUUCAGCUCUGGACGAGGUUUUUGGUGACCCAUGUUCAACUUUGGAGGAGAUUUCUGAAGAUUCAUCUUCGUGUGAUCUGUUUUAGCCCAACUCUGAGCACAGGGUGAUAGAAAUGCUCCCAAAGAGCAGUGCUGGUACCUGGGGAUGCCCACACAUGGAAAGCCAGGCUUAGACAUCCCCAAGGCUUUGGGAACAUCACUCACAUGGACCUGGGACCUGCUGCCAUCACUGCCUCUGUCCCUGCUGAGCCUGGGGGUGUCCUUCCUGAACUGAACUAAAAUCUAGAAGCAGCACCAUCAAAUCAGACAAAGACCAACUGGAACAUCCUGGAGAAGAGAGUGUUCCAAGUGACCCUGGUGGUGUGUAGGGAAAUGGCUGUGGGAUGACCAGAACUCACAUGGGAACUCUUUUUUAAUAAAAUGAAGGGGGAAGGAAGAGAACUAUUCAGACUUUUCCCUUGAAAAUUUCACAAAAUUACUUUUCACACACUUAAAUUAUCUCCACCUUCGUUUCAUAUAUGAAAAAUCUGUGCCUACAGAAUGAGUCAAUAAAAGCCAAUAAAAUGAGAACAGUA